UACAGAGGGGGCUAGCGUUGUUCGGAAUUACUGGGCGUAAAGCGCGCGUAGGCGGUGCUGCAAGUUAGAAGUGAAAUCCCGGGGCUUAACCUCGGAACUGCUUUUAAGACUGCAGUGCUUGAUGAUGGUAGGGGGUGGUGGAAUUCCUAGUGUAGAGGUGAAAUUCGUAGAUAUUAGGAGGAACACCAGAGGCGAAGGCGGCCACCUGGACCAUUUAUGACGCUAAAGCGCGAAAGCGCGGGGAGCAAACAGG
RNAcentral lists this ribosomal RNA (253 nucleotides) under uncultured bacterium. RNAcentral describes it as "partial 16S ribosomal RNA". It matches the Rfam family "Bacterial small subunit ribosomal RNA", at positions 524 to 776 of the family's 1533-position model. The record is from RNAcentral.